AAUAGAGGAGGAAAGAGUGAGAGAUGCCGGCGAGCGGCGGACGGCUGAGUAACGCGUGGGAACGUGCCCCAAAGUGAGGAAUAACUGCCCGAAAGGGUAGCUAAUGCCGCAUAUGAUCUUCGGAUUAAAGGAUUUAUCCGCUUUGGGAGCGGCCCGCGUCAGAUUAGGUUGUUGGUGAGGUAAAGGCUCACCAAGCCGACGAUCUGUAGCUGGUCUGAGAGGAUGAUCAGCCAGACUGGGACUGAGACACGGCCCAGACUCCUACGGGAGGCAGCAGUAAGGAAUCUUCAAGGGUGGACGAAAGUCUGAUGGAGCAACUCCGCGUGUAAAAGGGAGGCCUUCGGGUUGUAAACUGCUUUUAUUUGUGAAGAA
Molecule: ribosomal RNA, 372 nt
Filed under: uncultured bacterium
Lineage: Bacteria
Description: bacterial SSU rRNA
Rfam family: Bacterial small subunit ribosomal RNA
Source: RNAcentral